This 765-nucleotide ribosomal RNA is filed under the name uncultured Streptococcus sp. RNAcentral describes it as "bacterial SSU rRNA". It matches the Rfam family "Bacterial small subunit ribosomal RNA", at positions 28 to 776 of the family's 1533-position model. The record is from RNAcentral. Lineage: Bacteria; Bacillati; Bacillota; Bacilli; Lactobacillales; Streptococcaceae.
GAUGAACGCUGGCGGCGUGCCUAAUACAUGCAAGUAGAACGCUGAAGCUUGGUGCUUGCACCGAGCGGAUGAGUUGCGAACGGGUGAGUAACGCGUAGGUAACCUGCCUCUUAGCGGGGGAUAACUAUUGGAAACGAUAGCUAAUACCGCAUAAAAGUCGACAUCGCAUGAUGUUGACUUGAAAGGUGCAAUUGCAUCACUAAGAGAUGGACCUGCGUUGUGUUAGCUAGUUGGUGAGGUAACGGCUCACCAAGGCGACGAUACAUAGCCGACCUGAGAGGGUGAUCGGCCACACUGGGACUGAGACACGGCCCAGACUCCUACGGGAGGCAGCAGUAGGGAAUCUUCGGCAAUGGGGGCAACCCUGACCGAGCAACGCCGCGUGAGUGAAGAAGGUUUUCGGAUCGUAAAGCUUUGUUGUAAGAGAAGAACGAGUGUGAGAGUGGAAAGUUCACACUGUGACGGUAACUUACCAGAAAGGGACGGCUAACUACGUGCCAGCAGCCGCGGUAAUACGUAGGUCCCGAGCGUUAUCCGGAUUUAUUGGGCGUAAAGCGAGCGCAGGCGGUUAGAUAAGUCUGAAGUUAAAGGCUGUGGCUUAACCAUAGUACGCUUUGGAAACUGUUUAACUUGAGUGCAGAAGGGGAGAGUGGAAUUCCAUGUGUAGCGGUGAAAUGCGUAGAUAUAUGGAGGAACACCGGUGGCGAAAGCGGCUCUCUGGUCUGUAACUGACGCUGAGGCUCGAAAGCGUGGGGAGCAAACAGG